GACGAACGCUGGCGGCGUGCUUAACACAUGCAAGUCGUGCGGUAAGGCCCUUUCGGGGGUACACGAGCGGCGAACGGGUGAGUAACACGUGAGCAACCUGCCCUUCACUUUGGGAUAACUGCCGGAAACGGUGGCUAAUACCGGAUAUGACUUCCUCACGCAUGUGGGGUGGUGGAAAGCCUUCGGGUGGUGGGGGAUGGGCUCGCGGUCUAUCAGCUUGUUGGUGGGGUGAUGGCCUACCAAGGCUUCGACGGGUAGCCGGCCUGAGAGGGUGACCGGCAAACGGGGGACGGAGACACGGCCGGAACCCCGAGGGGGGCAGGAGGGGGGGAAUAUUGAAAAAGGGGCGAAGGCCUGACCAAGCACGGCGGGGGGGGGGAGAGGGGCCUUGGGUUGGAAACCCUUUUGCGCCGGGGCGGAAGGGGGGGGGGGGGGGGAGGAUAAAAAGACCCCGGCAACCUAGGGG
This 466-nucleotide ribosomal RNA is filed under the name uncultured bacterium. RNAcentral's name for it is "partial 16S ribosomal RNA". The stretch from base 18 to 365 matches the Rfam family "Bacterial small subunit ribosomal RNA", at positions 45 to 393 of the family's 1533-position model. The record is from RNAcentral.